AGAAAAUAUCUCGUUCGGCAAAAAAUCUCUCAGUCUCUUUGGUUUUCUUUGUUGUAGCAGUUAUCACUCCUGUACAUCGACAACUUGAACUCACAUCGACUGUACUCGCCGCGUCGCUGGAGCUCAUCCUCCUCCCUCAAUGUCGUCGUCUACCGCCUUCACGGAGUCUUUGGACCACUUCGAGACCCCAACGCUGGACUUGGAGGGCCCCACGCUCCUCCAGGCCAUCACGGAGCACGGCGGUUACGCAUACGUCAGCAUGGCAACCCUGGCCGCCGCUGGAGACUCACGAGCGGCGGAGGCGGCGCGUGAGAUGGCUUGGGAGCAGCUUCACUCGGGUCCAUGGCACUCGGUGUUGCCCGUCUGGCGCGACGCCUACUCCAUGGCCUGCCUCCACGUGGCCAGACUCCAUUUUUCCAAGGGUGAGCUUAGUGAGUCCCUUAGGGUUUUGGACAUGGGAUUGAUCAUGGGCGGGAUGCUCCUCAGGAAGGACCUCGACUCGGCGGUCGACAAGGUCUCGGCCAAGGCCAGGGACGCAGCUGCGGUUUCAGAGCAACUCGCAAAGCGAAAACUUGUCCGCCAGGACGAGCUCCGUGACGCAGAGGUGCUUCAGUCUUUGCCAUUUAAGUCUCUGUCUUUGAAAUUUGUGGGAAGGAGACCUGCUCUAUCUUUGGAGGGAUUUCUGCGUGAAUAUUUCCUAUCAGGUUCUCCGGUCAUUAUUAGUGACAGUAUGGCACAUUGGCCAGCAAGGACAAAGUGGAAUGACAUGGAUUACCUAAGAAGGGUUGCUGGAGACCGCACAGUUCCAGUUGAGGUUGGCAAAAACUAUUUGUGCCCAGAGUGGAAGCAAGAGCUUAUUACAUUUUCCCAAUUUCUUGCAAGGAUUGAAGCAAAUGACUGUUCUUCUGCGGCCCCUACAUAUCUUGCUCAGCAUCCUUUGUUUGAUCAGAUAAGCGAGCUACGGAAUGACAUAUGUAUUCCUGACUACUGUUUUUCCGGGGGUGGGGAGCUGAGGUCUCUCAAUGCCUGGUUUGGUCCUGCUGGGACAGUAACACCAUUGCACCAUGAUCCACAUCAUAAUAUACUUGCUCAGGUUGUUGGCAGAAAGUAUAUAAGGCUUUAUCAUGCUUCAUUGUCAGAGGAACUUUACCCAUACACUGAAACCAUGCUUAAAAACUCAAGCCAGGUAGCAGCAUUCUCAAGCUCUGGAAAAAUUGAAUGAUCUGCAUGAGUUAGCUUUAUCUUUAAAUGAAAAUGCAUGGUUAAUGGUUGGAUUAAAAGCAAUCAAGUUCCACAUAGUCACGAUUCUAAUUCUCUCUCUCUCUCUCUCUCUCUCACUCUCUCUCUCUCUCUCACACACACACACACACGAGUGUGUGUGUGGAAUAAGUACACUUUACAUGCUAGCAGCCAUGUGAUACUGCACAAUCCUUUGGGGCUAACAAGUAAGACCCCACUGGAUUCUUAUGCCGGUCUCCUAUUUUUAACUUGGUGAGUUCAGCACACAUAUCUGGUCUCCGCAUUAUCUCCUUUGGCAUGGACAUCAUAUCCUGUCAACCUCCUAUGCUGGUUGAUCUGGACAAUAUAGACGAGAUACGGUUUCCAAAGGUGCAUGACUUAGAAUUUGAGGACUGCAUUUUAGAGGAAGGAGGAGGGCUAUCAACUUCUUGGAUGCUAGAUAUGAAAGGAUCUGGAUCCACUGAUUACAUUCGACUGUCUGUUAUGAUUUACAUUGCAGAUGUAAUUUCUUUUCUUUUUUGUACUCCGCUAAAGAGUUCAUUUUAUAUU
Molecule: RNA transcript, 1788 nt
Organism: Juglans microcarpa x Juglans regia
Lineage: Eukaryota; Viridiplantae; Streptophyta; Magnoliopsida; Fagales; Juglandaceae
Gene name: lysine-specific demethylase JMJ30
Exons: 7
Source: RefSeq, a predicted model, not a curated record